RNAcentral lists this unclassified non-coding RNA (216 nucleotides) under Hevea brasiliensis (rubber tree). The record is from RNAcentral. Lineage: Eukaryota; Viridiplantae; Streptophyta; Magnoliopsida; Malpighiales; Euphorbiaceae.
AUGCAUUCAUUUACACCUCAAAAGUUAUCAAUCUUAGUAGCACACUGCAUUACACACAAGUAACAUGAUCAAUCCAGGAAAAAACAAUUGUCAUCUGUUUCUAACACAAUUCCCUGAACUAUCAUUGGUAGCUACUUUACUUCAAUAAACUCAAGAGCAGGGCAAAUACAACGACAAAAUUAGAAACUACCAUAACGUCCUUUAAGAGAAACGGAU